Molecule: ribosomal RNA, 253 nt
Filed under: uncultured bacterium
Lineage: Bacteria
Description: partial 16S ribosomal RNA
Rfam family: Bacterial small subunit ribosomal RNA
Source: RNAcentral
UACGGGGGGGGCAAGCGUUGUUCGGAAUUACUGGGCGUAAAGGGCGCGUAGGCGGCCAUCUAAGUCAGACGUGAAAUCCCUCGGCUUAACCGGGGAACUGCCUCUGAUACUGGAUGGCUUGAGAUUGGGAGAGGGAUGCGGAAUUCCAGGUGUAGCGGUGAAAUGCGUAGAUAUCUGGAGGAACACCGGUGGCGAAGGCGGCAUCCUGGACCAACACUGACGCUGAGGAGCGAAAGCCAGGGGAGCAAACGGG